RNAcentral lists this long non-coding RNA (831 nucleotides) under Sorghum bicolor (sorghum). Its description in RNAcentral is "long non-coding RNA (SBIC_LNC015002)". The record is from RNAcentral. Lineage: Eukaryota; Viridiplantae; Streptophyta; Magnoliopsida; Poales; Poaceae.
CCUUGGCCUUGGGUUUGGUAUCAAAGAAAUGGGUGCUAUCGGCAGAGGAUACAUCCAGGCCAGUGAGCAUAGCUACAUCGGCAAGUGUAGGGGAAGCAGGACCAUGGCCAAAGACAAAGGCAUUGAGGGUGUCUGACCAGAAAUACGAUGCAGCUAUCAGCAGAGAUUCGUUCCUAUGCAUAUCGGCAAUGGACAAUCUAAUGCAUUGGUCUAGCUUUCUCUCGCCCCAGUGAACUUCAUUUCAAUUGCUGACCCUCAGAAACCAAUCCGUCCAUCCCACAGUAGGGCUGGGCCAGGAACGGAAAGUGUCCUUCCACAGAUCCAAAGAAAAGUUCUCGGUUCUAAAGGGAAUCAUGUUAGUUUCUGCAUUAAUGAGGUCGGUUGGAUCUGGAUCUCCUAACGGGCCAAGACAUUGGAGGUGUGGUUGAUCGGUAGGGAUGACAAUUUUGUUAGACAAUUCCUAGUGGUUUUGGAGGUAAAAAAAAGGAAACAAAGAAAGAAAAAGAAAAUAUUCAGUAAAAUGGAUUGCGGAUGAACAGGGGUGCGAAAAAGGUAUGAAGGACGGAGUGAAGAACUGACCUCAGGGACGAUGAAGUUGACGGCCAUCUUGUUGCGAGGAGGAUGAUCGAGGGCUUCGGAGUUGGUGGAAAAAGACUUCGUCGGAGAUCUUGGAGUUCUUGAACAGCGCCGCCGCCGGGAAAGUAAAGUUGGAGUUGUGGAAUGAUGAGAUGGAGAAGGAGUACCCGAGAAGGAACUAUUUAUAGGACAAAACGGGCAAGAGAAAAUCUGACUUAUCUCUUUGCCGCAUCCGUGAAAUCCGAGGGUGCUCGG